UGUGGGUUAGGGUUAGAGAGCUUUAAGACAUAAUAGGCUGCUGGCUGUGUUGUUGCACUUGCUUGAUGUUUGGCUGUGUUAGCAAAGUUGUCGACUCGCUAGUUUUUGAUCAUAAGUCAUUUUAAAAAAUGCAUGUGUACCGCUGUCCAUAUUCAUGACAGCAGUGUAUGAGUGAAUUGUACUCUGAACCUUGGGGCACAAAAUUGCAAUAAUUCUUACACAAGCUCAAUAAACACAGUAUAACAAUAUUUGACUGGAACUUUCCCCAUCUGUCUGGGACAUUGAAAUCUUCUAGAAGGCAUGGACUGGUAUCACCUUUAUCAGUAGAUUGUUAGAAAGUACCUGGUGAAGAAAGUGGAACAUCUAGCAGCUAAAGAGCCAAACAUUUUGUACAGGAGUAAGUGGAGACCAAACCAGAGUACCAAGGACUUACCAUCAUCAGGAAAAGUCAAGAAUUCUACAUGCAGAAGCCUAAUUCCAGUUUUGGUUCCAGAGACUGUUCCAAUUUUGUGCAGCAUUCAUUCAGAAUAAACACUAGUUGUUGUUAGUAGCAAUGUUAUUUCUUACUGUGCAUUAAGAUGAAGACAUGUCUGUGUGAGAUGGAAGGGAUGUGGUUGUAUCAUUGGGCUUUAUGAAUCUGCUUUGGAAAAAGGAGAAAUGCUGGAUGCAUAUAACAGAUGGAGCAGUCAGAGGCUGAGCGAAACACAAACACAGGCACACUACCACAGUUGGUUCAGUGGCUGCUAGCUUGACUGACAAUGGCAUCUAGCCGUGUAAUUGUAGAUUGCAACUCACUUGUGUCACCCUCCCUUUCCAACUGCGAGGGAGAAACUACAAACUACUGUAGAGACAUGGCGGUUCAACUGAAGCCGUUCUGCAUCUGUAGACAGAAACAGCUCAUUCUAAGUUUGCUUUAUCAGUGGUGACAAUUGGCCUGGCAGGAAUUAUCAGUUCAGCCCACUGAUCCCGAAAUGAGUCUCCGAAAGGCGCCAGAUUGCACAUGCUGCUGUUUGAUCUCUACUGCUGCAUCGGAUCACUGUCCUCCUCUGGACGGCUGCUUUAUAAAGUGUUCUUUUUUCGAUGUUGUUGAUUCCCGGUUGGUUGAUUAUUUGCAUUACAUCUGAAUCUCACAAACUCUAAAGAUGCACAGAGACAGUAUUUUGUAGGAUUACGUUAUUGUUUGGAGGCAGAAUGCGUCCGGUGAGUUUGUGCUCCUGAAAGCAUAAACACACAAUCAUACCUUAGACUAGUCAGUUUUCAUUGAAACUGUUGUUUCAACUGUAUGAACGUUUAAGAGGCUGUAGUUUGUGCUGUUGAACUGUAUAACACUGCAUUAUGUAAUAACUCGACAAAAUGUCAUAGAUUUUCUUACUUUCUUACUCACAUUAUUUAGUAACACAUUUUGUAAUAAUCUGCUGCAUUUAGUAAUAAACAGCAUAAACGCAAUAUAUAAUAAAACUUUUUUCUGUGUUUUGUAAUAUAUUAUGACAUAUUUUGGUAGUUAUUACAAAAAGUUUCAUUUUUAUAUGAUGAAAAUGUAAUAAUAUGGUGAAUUAUGUAAUAACAAACCAAAAUGGAUGUCUUCAUCUGUACACAUUAUUUUUAACAAUUAACCUAUAUUAAA
This 1624-nucleotide long non-coding RNA is filed under the name Dicentrarchus labrax (European seabass). Its description in RNAcentral is "lncRNA (ENSDLAG00005010124.2)". The record is from RNAcentral. Lineage: Eukaryota; Metazoa; Chordata; Actinopteri; Moronidae.